RNAcentral lists this ribosomal RNA (490 nucleotides) under uncultured bacterium. RNAcentral describes it as "partial 16S ribosomal RNA". It matches the Rfam family "Bacterial small subunit ribosomal RNA", at positions 30 to 507 of the family's 1533-position model. The record is from RNAcentral.
AUUGAACGCUGGCGGCAGGCCUAACACAUGCAAGUCGAACGGUAACAGGAAACAGCUUGCUGUUUCGCUGACGAGUGGCGGACGGGUGAGUAAUGUCUGGGAAACUGCCUGAUGGCGGGGGAUAACUACUGGAAACGGUAGCUAAUACCGCAUAACGUCGCAAGACCAAAGAGGGGGACCCUCGGGCCUCUUGCCAUCGGAUGUGCCCAGAUGGGAUUAGCUUGUUGGUGGGGUAACGGCUCACCAAGGCGACGAUCCCUAGCUGGUCUGAGAGGAUGACCAGCCACACUGGAACUGAGACACGGUCCAGACUCCUACGGGAGGCAGCAGUGGGGAAUAUUGCACAAUGGGCGCAAGCCUGAUGCAGCCAUGCCGCGUGUAUGAAGAAGGCCUUCGGGUUGUAAAGUACUUUCAGCGGGGAGGAAGGGAGUAAAGUUAAUACCUUGGCUCAUUGACGUUACCCGCAGAAGAAGCACCGGCUAACUCCGUG